UCAAUUUUAUGUUUUUUAAAAAUCCAAUUUUUCUUGUAUUCCUAUCGUUCGCGUUUCUCUCUUUCUCACUUUCCUUUCAGCGGUCAUUUGAAACACCGAAAAAAAGGAUUUCUUUGGCGUCUAGGAUUUCUUUCGUGUCUCCGUGAUUUAUCACCACUACCACCAACUCUCUCUCUCUCUCGUGGAACCAAAAUUAAUCCCAAACCUCUCUCACUCUAUACAAACUCUACUCACUCACUCACGAAGCCCUAGUAGAACUCGCUUUCUUCAAUCGAAAAUGCAAGACAUGUUCGGUUCCGUCCGCUGAUCGCUAGUGUUUCUUUCACCGGACGGUGGCGGCGGCGACGACAAAGGCACCACUGUCAGAACCCUACUCGUUAAACAGAUCAGAUCUCUACGAUAUUGAGAGCAAAUGAACCUGCAGAUGGUGGCUUGAGAAAACCAUGGCUUACAGCUAUUCUGAAACAUCUUCCAGUUUGCAGAUAUCAUAUGCGGCUUGAUACUCCGGCUACAACUUGAAACAUUAAAGACAUUUUUGAGGGUUAUAGUUUUCUCAUUCCUUUUCUUGUGGGCCAAUAACUAUGCUUUAUAUUACAUAGAAAUGAAAUAAUUACCCUAUCAUUAAGCUGCUUUUGCUAAUUUGUUAAGCUGUUAAGCUUUAUUUUGGUCCUAUCUAUAAAAAAAUAGAGCUUUAUUUUGGAAAA
Molecule: non-coding RNA, 704 nt
Organism: Camellia sinensis
Lineage: Eukaryota; Viridiplantae; Streptophyta; Magnoliopsida; Ericales; Theaceae
Source: RefSeq, a predicted model, not a curated record